This 2729-nucleotide ribosomal RNA is filed under the name Escherichia coli. RNAcentral's name for it is "partial 23S ribosomal RNA". It matches the Rfam family "Bacterial large subunit ribosomal RNA". The record is from RNAcentral. Lineage: Bacteria; Pseudomonadati; Pseudomonadota; Gammaproteobacteria; Enterobacterales; Enterobacteriaceae.
GCGAUGAAGGACGUGCUAAUCUGCGAUAAGCGUCGGUAAGGUGAUAUGAACCGUUAUAACCGGCGAUUUCCGAAUGGGGAAACCCAGUGUGUUUCGACACACUAUCAUUAACUGAAUCCAUAGGUUAAUGAGGCGAACCGGGGGAACUGAAACAUCUAAGUACCCCGAGGAAAAGAAAUCAACCGAGAUUCCCCCAGUAGCGGCGAGCGAACGGGGAGCAGCCCAGAGCCUGAAUCAGUGUGUGUGUUAGUGGAAGCGUCUGGAAAGGCGCGCGAUACAGGGUGACAGCCCCGUACACAAAAAUGCACAUACUGUGAGCUCGAUGAGUAGGGCGGGACACGUGGUAUCCUGUCUGAAUAUGGGGGGACCAUCCUCCAAGGCUAAAUACUCCUGACUGACCGAUAGUGAACCAGUACCGUGAGGGAAAGGCGAAAAGAACCCCGGCGAGGGGAGUGAAAAAGAACCUGAAACCGUGUACGUACAAGCAGUGGGAGCCUCUUAAUGGGGUGACUGCGUACCUUUUGUAUAAUGGGUCAGCGACUUAUAUUCUGUAGCAAGGUUAACCGAAUAGGGGAGCCGAAGGGAAACCGAGUCUUAACUGGGCGUUAAGUUGCAGGGUAUAGACCCGAAACCCGGUGAUCUAGCCAUGGGCAGGUUGAAGGUUGGGUAACACUAACUGGAGGACCGAACCGACUAAUGUUGAAAAAUUAGCGGAUGACUUGUGGCUGGGGGUGAAAGGCCAAUCAAACCGGGAGAUAGCUGGUUCUCCCCGAAAGCUAUUUAGGUAGCGCCUCGUGAAUUCAUCUCCGGGGGUAGAGCACUGUUUCGGCAAGGGGGUCAUCCCGACUUACCAACCCGAUGCAAACUGCGAAUACCGGAGAAUGUUAUCACGGGAGACACACGGCGGGUGCUAACGUCCGUCGUGAAGAGGGAAACAACCCAGACCGCCAGCUAAGGUCCCAAAGUCAUGGUUAAGUGGGAAACGAUGUGGGAAGGCCCAGACAGCCAGGAUGUUGGCUUAGAAGCAGCCAUCAUUUAAAGAAAGCGUAAUAGCUCACUGGUCGAGUCGGCCUGCGCGGAAGAUGUAACGGGGCUAAACCAUGCACCGAAGCUGCGGCAGCGACACUAUGUGUUGUUGGGUAGGGGAGCGUUCUGUAAGCCUGUGAAGGUGUACUGUGAGGUAUGCUGGAGGUAUCAGAAGUGCGAAUGCUGACAUAAGUAACGAUAAAGCGGGUGAAAAGCCCGCUCGCCGGAAGACCAAGGGUUCCUGUCCAACGUUAAUCGGGGCAGGGUGAGUCGACCCCUAAGGCGAGGCCGAAAGGCGUAGUCGAUGGGAAACAGGUUAAUAUUCCUGUACUUGGUGUUACUGCGAAGGGGGGACGGAGAAGGCUAUGUUGGCCGGGCGACGGUUGUCCCGGUUUAAGCGUGUAGGCUGGUUUUCCAGGCAAAUCCGGAAAAUCAAGGCUGAGGCGUGAUGACGAGGCACUACGGUGCUGAAGCAACAAAUGCCCUGCUUCCAGGAAAAGCCUCUAAGCAUCAGGUAACAUCAAAUCGUACCCCAAACCGACACAGGUGGUCAGGUAGAGAAUACCAAGGCGCUUGAGAGAACUCGGGUGAAGGAACUAGGCAAAAUGGUGCCGUAACUUCGGGAGAAGGCACGCUGAUAUGUAGGUGAAGUCCCUUGCGGAUGGAGCUGAAAUCAGUCGAAGAUACCAGCUGGCUGCAACUGUUUAUUAAAAACACAGCACUGUGCAAACACGAAAGUGGACGUAUACGGUGUGACGCCUGCCCGGUGCCGGAAGGUUAAUUGAUGGGGUUAGCGGUAACGCGAAGCUCUUGAUCGAAGCCCCGGUAAACGGCGGCCGUAACUAUAACGGUCCUAAGGUAGCGAAAUUCCUUGUCGGGUAAGUUCCGACCUGCACGAAUGGCGUAAUGAUGGCCAGGCUGUCUCCACCCGAGACUCAGUGAAAUUGAACUCGCUGUGAAGAUGCAGUGUACCCGCGGCAAGACGGAAAGACCCCGUGAACCUUUACUAUAGCUUGACACUGAACAUUGAGCCUUGAUGUGUAGGAUAGGUGGGAGGCUUUGAAGUGUGGACGCCAGUCUGCAUGGAGCCGGCCUUGAAAUACCACCCUUUAAUGUUUGAUGUUCUAACGUUGGCCCCUGAUCGGGGUUGCGGACAGUGUCUGGUGGGUAGUUUGACUGGGGCGGUCUCCUCCUAAAGAGUAACGGAGGAGCACGAAGGUUGGCUAAUCCUGGUCGGACAUCAGGAGGUUAGUGCAAUGGCAUAAGCCAGCUUGACUGCGAGCGUGACGGCGCGAGCAGGUGCGAAAGCAGGUCAUAGUGAUCCGGUGGUUCUGAAUGGAAGGGCCAUCGCUCAACGGAUAAAAGGUACUCCGGGGAUAACAGGCUGAUACCGCCCAAGAGUUCAUAUCGACGGCGGUGUUUGGCACCUCGAUGUCGGCUCAUCACAUCCUGGGGCUGAAGUAGGUCCCAAGGGUAUGGCUGUUCGCCAUUUAAAGUGGUACGCGAGCUGGGUUUAGAACGUCGUGAGACAGUUCGGUCCCUAUCUGCCGUGGGCGCUGGAGAACUGAGGGGGGCUGCUCCUAGUACGAGAGGACCGGAGUGGACGCAUCACUGGUGUUCGGGUUGUCAUGCCAAUGGCACUGCCCGGUAGCUAAAUGCGGAAGAGAUAAGUGCUGAAAGCAUCUAAGCACGAAACUUGCCCC